AGUUGUUUCCAUUGAGAGAAAAACUUGUGAGACUCGGAAAUGAAGUGAAAUCAAGCUGAUGAAGUGUGCCUGAGAGACCUGCAUCAGAAAGAUUGAUCUCUGAAAUUGUUCCACCAGCAUUGCAGACAAUAGACGUCCAAUUGCACAAGUUUCCGUGAUUGGAAAUGGACCAUGAAUCCAAGAAAGAAGCAGAAGGUAAGUUCAUCUUCCAUUUGACAAGAGCUUGAGCUUCAGUUUUUGCUGCUGAUGUGAUUGUCAAUGGAAGUGAAAAAAGAAGAAGCACUAGUAGAAUGUAAAGGAAGGUACUGUAAAAAGUUUU
RNAcentral lists this unclassified non-coding RNA (319 nucleotides) under Hevea brasiliensis (rubber tree). The record is from RNAcentral. Lineage: Eukaryota; Viridiplantae; Streptophyta; Magnoliopsida; Malpighiales; Euphorbiaceae.